ACCUUCGUGGUGUAACGGUUAACACACUCGGUCCGUAUUCGAUAGGUCAAGGUUUGAGUCCCGGCGAAGGCA
RNAcentral lists this transfer RNA (72 nucleotides) under Stegodyphus mimosarum. It matches the Rfam family "tRNA". Rfam says of the family: Transfer RNA (tRNA) molecules are approximately 80 nucleotides in length. Their secondary structure includes four short double-helical elements and three loops (D, anti-codon, and T loops). Further hydrogen bonds mediate the characteristic L-shaped molecular structure. tRNAs have two regions of fundamental functional importance: the anti-codon, which is responsible for specific mRNA codon recognition, and the 3' end, to which the tRNAs corresponding amino acid is attached (by aminoacyl-tRNA synthetases). tRNAs cope with the degeneracy of the genetic code in two manners: having more than one tRNA (with a specific anti-codon) for a particular amino acid; and 'wobble' base-pairing, i.e. permitting non-standard base-pairing at the 3rd anti-codon position. Lineage: Eukaryota; Metazoa; Arthropoda; Arachnida; Araneae; Eresidae. The record is from Rfam by way of RNAcentral.